Long non-coding RNA from Fukomys damarensis (Damara mole-rat), 302 nucleotides. RefSeq lists it as uncharacterized. The transcript is spliced from 4 exons. NCBI's taxonomy places the organism in Eukaryota, Metazoa, Chordata, Mammalia, Rodentia, Bathyergidae. The record is from RefSeq and is a predicted model, not a curated record.
GUUGUGAUUGUAUAGGUAUCUCUUAGCUCUUUGGCAUUGCUGGAAUAUACACACUGAGGACAUGCUGUUACAGAAGCCCUGAUGUUUAGAUUGGCAAUGUAUAUGAUGCCUGUGAGAAGAAACAUCUGCAAAACAAUUCAGAUCUCUGUGAAUAAACUGACUCAAGCCUAACAAGGUGUCUUGUAAGUUUCCUUGUCUUAGUCUUCAUCCAUAUUCAUACAUGAGAGAAGAGGGCAAAGAAAGUGAUUUUGACAGAGAAGUGGAGACCGGCAUUGCUUACGUGGACACAUAUACAGAGUGCU